RNAcentral lists this ribosomal RNA (270 nucleotides) under uncultured archaeon. RNAcentral's name for it is "partial 16S ribosomal RNA". It matches the Rfam family "Archaeal small subunit ribosomal RNA", at positions 477 to 747 of the family's 1478-position model. The record is from RNAcentral.
CAGCACCUCAAGUGGUCAGGAUGAUUAUUGGGCCUAAAGCAUCCGUAGCCGGCGCUAUAAGUUUUCGGUUAAAUCUGUACGCUCAACGUACAGGCUGCCGGGAAUACUGCAGCGCUAGGGAGUGGGAGAGGUAGACGGUACUCGGUAGGAAGGGGUAAAAUCCUUUGAUCUAUUGAUGACCACCUGUGGCGAAGGCGGUCUACCAGAACACGUCCGACGGUGAGGGAUGAAAGCUGGGGGAGCAAACCGGAUUAGAUACCCGAGUAGUCC